RNAcentral lists this ribosomal RNA (506 nucleotides) under uncultured bacterium. Its description in RNAcentral is "partial 16S ribosomal RNA". It matches the Rfam family "Bacterial small subunit ribosomal RNA", at positions 29 to 523 of the family's 1533-position model. The record is from RNAcentral.
AGUGAGCGCUGGCGGUAGGCCUAACACAUGCAAGUCGAACGGCAGCACAGGAGAGCUUGCUCUCUGGGCGGCGAGUGGCGGACGGGUGAGGAAUACAUCGGAAUCUACUCUGUCGUGGGGGAUAACGUAGGGAAACUUACGCUAAUACCGCAUACGAACUACGGGUGCAAGCCGGGGACCUUCGGGCCUUGCGCGACUGUAUGAGCCGGUGUCGGAUUAGCUAGUUGGCGGGGUAAAGGCCCACCAAAGCGGCGAUGCGUAGCUGGUCUGAGAGGAGAAUCAGGCACAAGGGAGCUGAGACACGGUCCAGACUCCUACGGGAGGCAGCAGUGGGGAAUAUUGGACAAUGGGCGCAAGCCUGAUCCAGCCAUACCGCGUGGGUGAAGAAGGCCUUCGGGUUGUAAAGCCCUUUUGUUGGGAAAGAAAUCCAGCUGGCUAAUACCCGGUUGGGAUGACGGUACCCAAAGAAUAAGCACCGGCUAACUUCGUGCCAGCCGCCGCAGUAA